This 534-nucleotide long non-coding RNA is filed under the name Homo sapiens (human). RNAcentral's name for it is "MIR646 host gene". The record is from RNAcentral. Lineage: Eukaryota; Metazoa; Chordata; Mammalia; Primates; Hominidae.
CGGUGCUGUAUUCUGCCGCCCAUUUUACCCGCGGGGAAGCUGAGGCCCAGUGCUGUUUAAUAUCUUACUCAUGUUCACUUGAUGAGAAAGUGACAGAUCUGAGACAAACCCAGAUCGACAGAAAAGAAAUGAGUCAACGAUGGUGCAGGUGAUCUGUGCAGUGCUGUGCAGGGGAUGGGUCAAAGCUGUGAUGCUGGCAUGCAACUAACUCACCAUUAAAGGGACCAGCUUGACGAAGCUUCUGCUUUUGUGACUGUCUCCUAAUGGGAGAAGUGAAAUUCUACCUCACUUUUUUAAAAGAAGAGCCUGGAAUUGGCCUAUCCGUCUUUUUCCCCGUUGGAUCACAGAGCAGAAAGGAAGCUAAGACCUCUAGUACAGUGUUCAAUGGAACUGGUGAGAAAAGACGUCCUUGCUGUGUUCCUGAUAUGAAGAGGAAAGCAGUCCUUCUCCAUUAAAUGCUGACAACAUGAGCCUCCCGUGGUCGGAACGGGCUUGUGAAGGCGGUGCUGGGGUGCACCAGGGCAGCAGCUACAG